RNAcentral lists this transfer RNA (73 nucleotides) under Desulfofundulus luciae. Its description in RNAcentral is "tRNA-Asn". It matches the Rfam family "tRNA". From Rfam's summary of the family: Transfer RNA (tRNA) molecules are approximately 80 nucleotides in length. Their secondary structure includes four short double-helical elements and three loops (D, anti-codon, and T loops). Lineage: Bacteria; Bacillati; Bacillota; Clostridia; Eubacteriales; Peptococcaceae. The record is from RNAcentral.
UCCCCGAUAGCUUAACGGUAGAGCAUCCGGCUGUUAACCGGAGGGUUGCAGGUUCGAAUUCUUGCCCGGGGAG